Molecule: transfer RNA, 73 nt
Filed under: Podarcis lilfordi (Lilford's wall lizard)
Lineage: Eukaryota; Metazoa; Chordata; Lepidosauria; Squamata; Lacertidae
Description: tRNA.Lys
Rfam family: tRNA (bases 8-65)
About the family: Transfer RNA (tRNA) molecules are approximately 80 nucleotides in length. Their secondary structure includes four short double-helical elements and three loops (D, anti-codon, and T loops). Further hydrogen bonds mediate the characteristic L-shaped molecular structure. tRNAs have two regions of fundamental functional importance: the anti-codon, which is responsible for specific mRNA codon recognition, and the 3' end, to which the tRNAs corresponding amino acid is attached (by aminoacyl-tRNA synthetases). tRNAs cope with the degeneracy of the genetic code in two manners: having more than one tRNA (with a specific anti-codon) for a particular amino acid; and 'wobble' base-pairing, i.e. permitting non-standard base-pairing at the 3rd anti-codon position.
Source: RNAcentral
GGCUGGAUAGCUCAGUCGGUACAGCAUGAGACUUUUAAUCCCAAGGUUGUGGGUUCGAGCCCCACGUUGGGUG